CUUACCAACUCUUGACAUCCCCCUGACCGGUACAGAGAUGUGCCUUCCCCUUCGGGGGCAGGGGUGACAGGUGGUGCAUGGUUGUCGUCAGCUCGUGUCGUGAGAUGUUGGGUUAAGUCCCGCAACGAGCGCAACCCUUGUCCUUAGUUGCCAGCAUUUGGUUGGGCACUCUAAGGAGACUGCCGGUGACAAACCGGAGGAAGGUGGGGAUGACGUCAAAUCAUCAUGCCCCUUAUGAGUUGGGCUACACACGUGCUACAAUGGACGGUACAAAGGGCAGCGAAGCCGCGAGGUGGAGCCAAUCCCAGAAAGCCGUUCUCAGUUCGGAUUGCAGGCUGCAACUCGCCUGCAUGAAGUCGGAAUCGCUAGUAAUCGCAGGUCAGCAUACUGCGGUGAAUACGUUCCCGGGUCUUGUACACACCGCCCGUCACACCACGAGAGUUUGCAACACCCGAAGUCGGUGAGUAAC
This 469-nucleotide ribosomal RNA is filed under the name uncultured Exiguobacterium sp. RNAcentral's name for it is "bacterial SSU rRNA". It matches the Rfam family "Bacterial small subunit ribosomal RNA", at positions 970 to 1439 of the family's 1533-position model. Lineage: Bacteria; Bacillati; Bacillota; Bacilli; Caryophanales. The record is from RNAcentral.